UACUCCUACGGGAGGCAGCAGUGGGGAAUAUUGCACAAUGGGCGUAAGCCUGAUGCAGCGACGCCGCGUGGGGGAUGACGGCCUUCGGGUUGUAAACCUCUUUCGACAGGGACGAAGCUUUUGUGACGGUACCUGUAUAAGAAGCACCGGCUAACUACGUGCCAGCAGCCGCGGUAAU
This 178-nucleotide ribosomal RNA is filed under the name uncultured bacterium. Its description in RNAcentral is "partial 16S ribosomal RNA". It matches the Rfam family "Bacterial small subunit ribosomal RNA", at positions 334 to 524 of the family's 1533-position model. The record is from RNAcentral.